RNAcentral lists this ribosomal RNA (468 nucleotides) under uncultured bacterium. Its description in RNAcentral is "partial 16S ribosomal RNA". It matches the Rfam family "Bacterial small subunit ribosomal RNA", at positions 28 to 507 of the family's 1533-position model. The record is from RNAcentral.
GACGAACGCUGGCGGCGUGCUUAACACAUGCAAGUCGAACGGAAAGGCCCUGCUUUUGUGGGGUGCUCGAGUGGCGAACGGGUGAGUAACACGUGAGUAACCUGCCCUUGACUUUGGGAUAACUUCAGGAAACUGGGGCUAAUACCGGAUAGGAGCUCCUGCUGCAUGGUGGGGGUGGGAAAGUCUCGGCGGUUGCGGAUGGACUCGCGGCUUAUCAGCUUGUUGGUGGGGUAGUGGCUUACCAAGGCUUUGACGGGUAGCCGGCCUGGGAGGGUGACCGGCCACAUUGGGACUGAGAGACGGAGCAGACUCGUACGGGAGGCAGCAGUGGGGAAUAUUGCACAAUGGGCGGAAGCCUGAUGCAGCAACGCCGCGUGCGGGAUGACGGCCUUCGGGUUGUAAACCGCUUUCGCCUGUGACGAAGCGUGAGUGACGGUAAUGAGUAAAGAAGCACCGGCUAACUACGUG